RNAcentral lists this ribosomal RNA (98 nucleotides) under Bacillus inaquosorum. Lineage: Bacteria; Bacillati; Bacillota; Bacilli; Caryophanales; Bacillaceae. The record is from RNAcentral.
GAGGUCACACCCGUUCCCAUACCGAACACGGAAGUUAAGCUCUUCAGCGCCGAUGGUAGUCGGGGGUUUCCCCCUGUGAGAGUAGGACAUCGCCAGGC